UGGAGUCUGCAACCCGACUCCACGAAGUUGGAUUCGCUAGUAAUCGCGCAUCAGCCAUGGCGCGGUGAAUACGUUCCCGGGCCUUGUACCACACCGCCCGUCAAGCCAUGGGAGCCGGGGGCGCCUGAAGUCCGGGACCGCGAGGACCGGCCUAGGGCGAAACUGGUAACUGGGGCUAAGUCGUAACAAGGUAAC
Molecule: ribosomal RNA, 195 nt
Filed under: uncultured bacterium
Lineage: Bacteria
Description: partial 16S ribosomal RNA
Rfam family: Bacterial small subunit ribosomal RNA
Source: RNAcentral